RNAcentral lists this ribosomal RNA (253 nucleotides) under uncultured bacterium. RNAcentral's name for it is "partial 16S ribosomal RNA". It matches the Rfam family "Bacterial small subunit ribosomal RNA", at positions 524 to 776 of the family's 1533-position model. The record is from RNAcentral.
UACGUAGGGUGCAAGCGUUAAUCGGAAUUACUGGGCGUAAAGCGUGCGCAGGCGGUUAUGUAAGACAGGUGUGAAAUCCCCGGGCUUAACCUGGGAACUGCAUUUGUGACUGCAUAGCUAGAGUACGGUAGAGGGGGAUGGAAUUCUGCGUGUAGCAGUGAAAUGCGUAGAUAUGCGGAGGAACACCGAUGGCGAAGGCAAUCCCCUGGACCUGUACUGACGCUCAUGCACGAAAGCGUGGGGAGCAAACAGG